AAAAAAGCUCAAAAUAUUUCAAAUCUUCUUUAGGUACUGUAUGUAAAGAGGAGAACAUUAGUUCAGACCAAAGUUGUACCCUUGUAGAC
Molecule: long non-coding RNA, 89 nt
Organism: Amblyraja radiata (thorny skate)
Lineage: Eukaryota; Metazoa; Chordata; Chondrichthyes; Rajiformes; Rajidae
Exons: 3
Source: RefSeq, a predicted model, not a curated record